GUGGGGAAUAUUCCGCAAUGGACGAAAGUCUGACGGAGCAACGCCGCGUGAGUGAUGAAGGUUUUCGGACUGUAAAGCUCUGUUGUUUAGGACGAAAGUGCCUGUUGCAAAUAGUUACAGGUAUUGACGGUACUGAACGAGGAAGCCACGGCUAACUACGUGCCAGCAGCCGCGGUAAUACGUAGGUGGCAAGCGUUGUCCGGAAUUAUUGGGCGUAAAGAGCAUGUAGGCGGGAAUCUAAGUCUGUUGUGAAAAUGCGGGGCUCAACCCCGUAUUGCGAUGGAAACUGGGUUUCUUGAGUGCAGGAGAGGAAAGGGGAAUUCCCAGUGUAGCGGUGAAAUGCGUAGAUAUUGGGAGGAACACCAGUGGCGAAGGCGCCUUUCUGGACUGUGUCUGACGCUGAGAUGCGAAAGCCAGGGUAGCGAACGGGAUUAGAAACCCUUGUAGUCC
This 450-nucleotide ribosomal RNA is filed under the name uncultured bacterium. Its description in RNAcentral is "partial 16S ribosomal RNA". It matches the Rfam family "Bacterial small subunit ribosomal RNA", at positions 354 to 796 of the family's 1533-position model. The record is from RNAcentral.